Molecule: ribosomal RNA, 449 nt
Filed under: uncultured bacterium
Lineage: Bacteria
Description: partial 16S ribosomal RNA
Rfam family: Bacterial small subunit ribosomal RNA
Source: RNAcentral
AACGAAAGCUGGCGGCAUGCCUAACACAUGCAAGUCGAACGAGACCUUCGGGUCUAGUGGCGCACGGGUGCGUAACGCGUGGGAAUCUGCCCUUGGGUUCGGAAUAACAGUUGGAAACGACUGCUAAUACCGGAUGAUGUCUUCGGACCAAAGAUUUAUCGCCCAGGGAUGAGCCCGCGUAAGAUUAGCUAGUUGGUGAGGUAAAGGCUCACCAAGGCUACGAUCUUUAGCUGGUCUGAGAGGAUGAUCAGCCACACUGGGACUGAGACACGGCCCAGACUCCUACGGGAGGCAGCAGUGGGGAAUAUUGGACAAUGGGCGAAAGCCUGAUCCAGCAAUGCCGCGUGAGUGAUGAAGGCCUUAGGGUUGUAAAGCUCUUUUACCCGGGAUGAUAAUGACAGUACCGGGAGAAUAAGCCCCGGCUAACUCCGCGCCAGCAGCCGCAGUAA